Long non-coding RNA from Dromaius novaehollandiae (emu), 1210 nucleotides. RefSeq lists it as uncharacterized. The transcript has 4 exons. The record is from RefSeq and is a predicted model, not a curated record. Lineage: Eukaryota; Metazoa; Chordata; Aves; Casuariiformes; Dromaiidae.
AGGUUUCCCUGUGUGUGAGGAUAGGCAUGAGCAGACAUACACACAAGCAAUGGGUCUCACGAGAACAUUUCAUGCUGGCCCAGAUGAGGCAGUGCCCACUUGACUGCAGCACCACAGUGCUCUCAGCAGCCCUGCUUCGAAUGGGCCCUUUGUCAGUGGUCUCAGCCAUCCCGUGUAUAAAGUGGAGAGGAUCACCGCAUCCCCCGGGUUUGCAGCUUUUCUUCGCUGGAUGUCACGAGAGGCAGGGCUGAGUAACGGCGCUGGAUACUAACAGCAGGGGAUAGUCUGCGAGCAAGUCCUUGUUUUGAAAAGAGCAGUUGUUAUUCACAAGUCCUGAACACAAGGAAGGAGAAAUAUUACAAACAAUGAACGCCUAGCUGUGAACUUCUGGUACUUUUUCCAAUGAGUAGGCAAUUCUGCUGAAAUGCACAGCUUUGGGGAUUCAUGUUUUUGUGACUGUUGCUAUUGCUUGAAGACUUCAAAACAGCAGGUAAUAGAACUUUGCAAAUAUGACUCCAUAAGGAAACUCGAUUCAUACCAGCACUCUCAAUCUUACCUGAGAAGUGCCAUAGUUGGUCAAUUCUCUUUCUUACCCUGAGAGCCUUUACAUCUUCUAAGUUGUCAGUGGAAGUAUUCGCACGAGUAACGCAAAGCAGAGCGAGCUGCAUGUUUGUUCAGCCUGGCCCUGGUUGGAGAAGUUUCUCUGGCUUGAGAAGCACAAGCAAUGGCACGCUGAGCGCCCUGCCUCAACGGGCUUGGGUAAUGCCACAGUGAGAACCCAACUACGACAGGUAAAUGCAGCACUCGGAGGAGAAGAGAUGGGGGAAAUGAACAGAAAAUGAGCUUUUCAGCCAGCGACGCGUGUAGUUCAUCGCAUGUUAAUGCUUCUUUUCUAGUCAUGCAAAUCAGCAGUAAUGAAAACUCGUCCGUGUGCACAGUGAAGAAGCAACUUGGUAAAGAAACAGAAAGAAAAUUAGCUAAAGAAAAUUAGCAAGAAAAUGACUCCGUAAGUGGAGGGAAGCGCAGCUCUCUCCAGCAAUGCGGAGUUGGUGCGCGCUCCCGCUGUGGAAGAGAGCCCUCAUACUGCGUGCACGCAGGUUCGCCCUGGAGCCACCCGCGCAAGCAUACGCGUUUAUUCCCCGGGCGCUAGAAAGGCGGCCAAACCGCCGAGCACUGCGGCGUGCUGUAUGCGCGCCCCGCGGGCCCGGCA